Long non-coding RNA from Coturnix japonica (Japanese quail), 910 nucleotides. RefSeq lists it as uncharacterized. Lineage: Eukaryota; Metazoa; Chordata; Aves; Galliformes; Phasianidae. The record is from RefSeq and is a predicted model, not a curated record.
GCAAGGUGCAAAGACGAUUAAUUCCCCCUGCAGGAGGUUCUGCCCUCGUGGAGGGAGCUGCACUAGUGGAGCUAUGAACCCGGCAGAUGAAAUGCUUCUCAACUCUGCCACUUGGGAAGGGUAAUGCGUCCUAAGCCCCGGCAAGAUCUUCUGGAAGAGCACACUGUGGUAAUUGUAAAGGAAAGUGUAGAGUGCCAGCGCUUGCUACAAGAAGAGACGACCACGGCCAGCAGCUGGAGUUUGAAUUGGAUACUGAAGCAUGCGGGAAGAAAGGCUACUUGAAAAUCUUCCAGCAGAAUGAUUUUCCAGUGGGAAAGAGUGUAUUUCACAGAAUCAAAAUGUUUCACAGGAAUGAAGGGAUUUGGUUCCAUUUUUCAACCAAAGAACCAUCCAGAUAUGCUGUUUCCAGAAGUAUGCAGGCAAACAUUUGGGUGGAUGAUGUCUUGAUGGACUCAGAGUGGAAAAGGAGUUGGAACGUGGAAGUCAUAGCCUGCUUGGAGUUGAAUAGGGAAUCCAAACAUCUGGGGACUGCAAAAUCCAUCAGGAAGCCCAGACAGAUGAGACGCGUCAUGGCAGGAAGGUUUGGUGCUGCCAUUGGAGAGACAAGGAACAGCAGGAGGUUCCCGCAGCUCCUUUUGGGCAAGAAAUGUUAGCACAACAUGGAUGCAUAUACUAAACAACAAGAGGAAGAAGAAGAGAGAGCUAAAAAAGGUUUUCUCAAGUCUCCUGCUGUUCUGCAUCUCUCUCGCAUUGCUCUGAUCCAUCUGUACAUGUCACUGGCUGGCAGGAUGACUGCUUCCUGCUUCAUGAUUUCGUAAUUAAUUUUUUUCUAUAUCAAAGGAAUUUAAAGGAAAUUAUUACAAACAGUUUGGCCACACUGCAUUGAGUCAUUGGGUUCUAUUUUAUUACC